UUCCUACGGGGGGCAGCAGUGAGGAAUAUUGGUCAAUGGCCGUAAGGCUGAACCAGCCAAGUAGCGUGAGGGAAGACUGCCCUAUGGGUUGUAAACCUCUUUUAUGCGGGGAUAAAGGUGUCCACGUGUGGAUGUUUGCAGGUACCGCAUGAAUAAGGACCGGCUAAUUCCGUGCCAGCAGCCGCGGUAAUACGGAGGAUGCGAGCGUUAUCCGGAUUUAUUGGGUUUAAAGGGUGCGCAGGCGGAGGUGCAAGUCAGCGGUCAAAUUGCGGGGCUCAACCCCGUACUGCCGUUGAAACUGCAUC
Molecule: ribosomal RNA, 305 nt
Filed under: uncultured bacterium
Lineage: Bacteria
Description: bacterial SSU rRNA
Rfam family: Bacterial small subunit ribosomal RNA
Source: RNAcentral